Molecule: non-coding RNA, 248 nt
Filed under: Bacillus solimangrovi
Lineage: Bacteria; Bacillati; Bacillota; Bacilli; Caryophanales; Bacillaceae
Description: T-box sequence
Rfam family: T-box leader
About the family: Uncharged tRNA acts as the effector for transcription antitermination of genes in the T-box leader family. T-boxes are found upstream of many aminoacyl-tRNA synthetase genes and some amino acid biosynthetic genes usually in Gram-positive bacteria.
Source: RNAcentral
UUACGUGCAAUGAGAAAGAAUAGUACAUUUUAUUAUCGUUUCAUAGAGAGCUUGUGGUUGGUGCGAACAAGUAGCGAUAUAGAAUGGAAUGGACUUUUGAGCACUCAAUCUGAACAUGUAUUACUUACAUCAGUAGGAAUUGACGUGAAUGUCUACACGAUAUCAUAGACUCAGUUUUCAACUGGUAUUAAGUGAUUUCUUUCUUUAAGAAAUAAUUAGGGUGGCACCACGGUCCAUUCGUCCCUAGC